CGGAGUUCCCCAACGUUAUCAUCACCCUCACUGUUCUAGAGUCAUGAAAGAUCAAUGGUUGUGAAACCUGGAACUUGCAACAGCACUCUAAUGAGUUGCUGACCAGAGAUGAAUGUAAUGAUGAGAUUACCUGGGAGCAUAAAUUGGUACCUGAUGUUCUGGAGGUGAAGCCAAGCUGGUGGAGUAAUCCAGAGUAUCUCUGCGGCCCCAUGAGAAUCCUCUCUGACCAAGAUUAAAAUAUCACCAUGAAACAAAUAAAGGAGUAAAAGAA
This 271-nucleotide long non-coding RNA is filed under the name Monodelphis domestica (gray short-tailed opossum). RNAcentral's name for it is "lncRNA (ENSMODG00000041472.1)". Lineage: Eukaryota; Metazoa; Chordata; Mammalia; Didelphimorphia; Didelphidae. The record is from RNAcentral.